UUUCUCAUUCUCUGCUCCAUCUCUCUCGACAAAACGCCUUCGCAAAUCCUUCGCAAUUUCUUCAAAUUAAUCAAUAGAGGAAUGGGAAGAUAGCUCUGGUUUCGUCAGAUUGACUUCACAAACCCUACACAAAUUCUAUUUGCGGUUGAAAAUUUUAAUAAAUGACGAGGAACGGAGCCAAAACGCCGCCGAGUCUUCUAAAGGUUGUUUAGGAAGUUAUGUGCGAUUUCUAGCAUUCCAUUCAAUCAAACGCGCUUUGAAAAUCAAACAGAUUUGCACCGACGGCCAUGAUUCCAGAUGCAGAUAGAGAAAGAAUCUUCUGUUUUCUAGAUGAAAUUCUCUUUUCUGGUUUUAGCUCUUAAAUUUCACCUCUGUUCAUGUCAAGUCUAUUAUAACUCGUACGAUAUUCAUUUAAUGUAGCAUGGUUAUUUCUUUUUA
This is a non-coding RNA of Salvia hispanica, 438 nucleotides long. The record is from RefSeq and is a predicted model, not a curated record. Lineage: Eukaryota; Viridiplantae; Streptophyta; Magnoliopsida; Lamiales; Lamiaceae.